This 360-nucleotide ribosomal RNA is filed under the name Triticum aestivum (bread wheat). Its description in RNAcentral is "partial small subunit ribosomal RNA". Lineage: Eukaryota; Viridiplantae; Streptophyta; Magnoliopsida; Poales; Poaceae. The record is from RNAcentral.
AUGGCGGGUGAGACGGCGGCGUCGACGCUGGCAAAUCCGUCGGGGCAGAGGAACUCGAAUCCUGGAGGGGGCCAUGAGCUGGGUCUCUUCAGCGGAAGGGAGUGGGAGCAAAUAAGGGAGAGAUCGAGGCGGAUCCUUCGGGGAGCGACGGAUCGGGACCAGACUUUGAUCCGGUCGAGAAGAAGAGCGAAGGAGACGGCGGCCUUGCUGGCAGGUGAUAUUCCAUCGAGGCCUGGGAAGGAUAUAAGGAGUGGAUUGACCGUGUGUCCCGCGGGAUCAGAUGGAUGCAUCUCGCAGGGGAAGGGCGCUGUUUCAGCCGGUAGUUCAGAGAUAGGUUCAGUAGAUAAGGCUAGUUUUUAA